Molecule: ribosomal RNA, 253 nt
Filed under: uncultured bacterium
Lineage: Bacteria
Description: partial 16S ribosomal RNA
Rfam family: Bacterial small subunit ribosomal RNA
Source: RNAcentral
UACGUAGGUGGCAAGCGUUGUCCGGAUUUACUGGGCGUAAAGGGCGUGCAGGCGGUUUGUUAAGUGCAGGGUGAAAGCUCCCGGCUCAACUGGGAGAGGUCCUUGCAUACUGGCGAACUCGAGGGAGGCAGAGGAAAGUGGAAUUCCCGGUGUAGUGGUGAUAUGCGUAGAUAUCGGGAGGAACAUCUGUGGCGAAGGCGACACCCUGGACCAGCACUGACACUGAGGCACGAAAGCGUGGGGAGCAAACAGG